This is a long non-coding RNA of Struthio camelus australis, 1855 nucleotides long. Ensembl annotates it as G protein-coupled receptor kinase 5. The record is from Ensembl. Lineage: Eukaryota; Metazoa; Chordata; Aves; Struthioniformes; Struthionidae.
CCUGUCAUCUUUGAUUCUUUAAGCCAUUAAUUAUAUUUGUACUUUGAUAUCUGAAAUGGAAGGGGAGGGGAGGAAGGAGAAGGAAGUUCUAAUUAGGGUCAUAGUUCUGCACUCACUCACAAUGUUUUAAGUUCCUAAUCAACCCUAAAGGCAGAGAGCAGCUCUUCAGAUUUUCAUGCUUCUCUUCUUCUCUUUAUUGCCUCUAGAGAGAGAUUACUGCAGUAUAUGCGAAAAGCAGCCGAUCGGAAGGCUUCUCUUUCGGCAGUUCUGUGAAACUCGACCCGAGCUUGAGUGCUGCAUUAGGUUUCUUGACUCAGUGGCAGAGUAUGAAAUUGCUCCAGAUGAAAAGCUGGGAGAGAAAGGAAAGGAAAUCAUGAUGAAAUACCUCACCCCAGAGGUAAGGGGCAGCCAGAGUGGUAUUACUGAAGGAAUGCUGCAAGGCACACCUUGGCUAAACAAGGUUGUUACAGGCUAUAGAUCUGUCCUUGACCACCUCAGCGGGGAACCAUUCCAAGAAUACCUAAACAGCAUGUACUUCGACAGGUUUCUGCAGUGGAAGUGGUUGGAAAGGCAACCAGUAACGAAAAACACAUUUAGGCAGUACAGGGUACUGGGGAAAGGUGGCUUUGGGGAGGUCUGCGCUUGCCAAGUCCGAGCAACAGGGAAGAUGUAUGCCUGCAAAAGAUUAGAGAAGAAGAGAAUAAAAAAGAGGAAAGGCGAAUCCAUGGCACUAAAUGAAAAGCAGAUUUUAGAAAAAGUCAAUAGUCAGUUUGUAGUCAAUUUAGCCUAUGCCUACGAAACAAAGGAUGCACUGUGUUUAGUUCUGACCAUAAUGAAUGGGGGUGACUUGAAGUUUCAUAUCUACAAUAUGGGAAACCCAGGCUUUGAGGAAGAACGAGCUUUGUUUUAUGCGGCAGAGAUUCUUUGUGGCUUAGAAGACCUACACAGAGAAAAUACUGUAUACAGAGAUUUGAAGCCAGAAAAUAUCCUACUAGAUGAUUAUGGUCAUAUUAGAAUAUCUGAUUUGGGUCUAGCUGUUAAAAUUCCUGAGGGUGAAUCAAUCCGUGGAAGGGUAGGAACAGUAGGGUAUAUGGCCCCAGAAGUGUUGAACAACCAGAGAUACACGCUCAGCCCUGACUACUGGGGGCUAGGCUGUCUCAUUUAUGAAAUGAUUGCUGGGCAAUCACCAUUUCGUGGAAGGAAAGAGAAAGUGAAGAGGGAAGAAGUGGACAGGAGAGUGCUGGAGACGGAAGAAGUGUACUCCCAUAAGUUUUCUGAGGAGGCCAAGUCCAUCUGUAAAAUGCUCCUCACCAAAGAUUUGAAGCAGCGACUGGGAUGUCAAGGGGAAGGUGCAGCAGAAGUGAAGAGACACCCCUUUUUCAAGAGCAUGAAUUUCAAGCGGUUAGAAGCAGGAAUGCUGGAUCCUCCCUUUGUCCCUGAUCCCAGAGCAGUAUAUUGCAAGGAUGUGUUAGACAUCGAGCAGUUCUCCACAGUGAAAGGAGUAAACCUGGACCAAACAGAUGAUGAUUUCUAUUCCAAGUUUUCCACAGGAUCAGUCUCUAUUCCAUGGCAAAAUGAGAUGAUAGAAACAGAGUGUUUCAAAGAACUAAAUGUGUUUGGACCAAAUGGUACUAUUUCACCAGACCUAAAUAAAAGCUACCCCCCAGAGCCACCCAAGAAAGGAUUGCUACAGAGAAUAUUUAAACGACAGGUGAGAUCUUUUAUGACUAACACAAGGACCUCCCAUAGUACAGAUGCCCAGUGUCACAGCCAUGUUCUGGUGGUAUUUCUGCUAGGAGAUAGGCACAAUGUCUUAGAGAGAGCUGGCUGUCACAGUUUCCUGGUAAUUUCCUGA